GCGAGUAUUUUACACCGAGCUGAAAUAGCUAACGCCACGUUUUAUAUAAACUGGUCAUGUUAUUUUGAGCCGUAGUAAUGAUUUUAUUGAAAUUUAUUGCUGCCAGGGUUAACAAGGAAACACGUUAGCCUCCCUACAUUUGGAAAGGUGAUAUGUUAACAGACAA
This is a non-coding RNA of Colwellia sp. 39_35_sub15_T18, 166 nucleotides long. The record is from Rfam. Lineage: Bacteria; Pseudomonadati; Pseudomonadota; Gammaproteobacteria; Alteromonadales; Colwelliaceae.